CUUGACAUCCUUUUAGGCUUUUCCCCAGGCCUAGACUCUCCUGGGUUUCUUAAUAUCGUCUCAAAAAAGCAAGUGGGAACUCCAUGCUUUUUCUUUUCCUUUUUUUGAAAAAAAUGGUUGUUCUAGGUUACAAGAAAAUAAGAGAAGAAAAAAUAGGUUUUAGCAAAAAUAAAAAAUUAUAAAUUGUAAGUGUAGCAGAG
This 200-nucleotide long non-coding RNA is filed under the name Elaeis guineensis (African oil palm). Its description in RNAcentral is "long non-coding RNA (EGUI_LNC004492)". Lineage: Eukaryota; Viridiplantae; Streptophyta; Magnoliopsida; Arecales; Arecaceae. The record is from RNAcentral.